AUUGAACGCUGGCGGCAGGCCUAACACAUGCAAGUCGAGCGGAUGACGGGAGCUUGCUCCUUGAUUCAGCGGCGGACGGGUGAGUAAUGCCUAGGAAUCUGCCUGGUAGUGGGGGACAACGUUUCGAAAGGAACGCUAAUACCGCAUACGUCCUACGGGAGAAAGCAGGGGACCUUCGGGCCUUGCGCUAUCAGAUGAGCCUAGGUCGGAUUAGCUAGUAGGUGAGGUAAUGGCUCACCUAGGCGACGAUCCGUAACUGGUCUGAGAGGAUGAUCAGUCACACUGGAACUGAGACACGGUCCAGACUCCUACGGGAGGCAGCAGUGGGGAAUAUUGGACAAUGGGCGAAAGCCUGAUCCAGCCAUGCCGCGUGUGUGAAGAAGGUCUUCGGAUUGUAAAGCACUUUAAGUUGGGAGGAAGGGUUGUACGUUGAUACCGUGCAAUUUUGACGUUACCGACAGAAUAAGCACCGGCUAACUCUGUGCCAGCAGCCGCCGUAA
RNAcentral lists this ribosomal RNA (500 nucleotides) under uncultured bacterium. RNAcentral describes it as "partial 16S ribosomal RNA". It matches the Rfam family "Bacterial small subunit ribosomal RNA", at positions 30 to 523 of the family's 1533-position model. The record is from RNAcentral.